AUUGAACGCUGGCGGCAUGCCUUACACAUGCAAGUCGAACGGCAGCACGGGUGCUUGCACCUGGUGGCGAGUGGCGAACGGGUGAGUAAUACAUCGGAACGUACCUUAUCGUGGGGGAUAACGCAGCGAAAGUUGCGCUAAUACCGCAUACGCCCUGAGGGGGAAAGCGGGGGACCGUAAGGCCUCGCGCGAUUAGAGCGGCCGAUGUCUGAUUAGCUUGUUGGGGAGGUAAAAGCUCACCAAGGCGAUGAUCAGUAGCUGGUCUGAGAGGACGAUCAGCCACACUGGGACUGAGACACGGCCCAGAAUCCUACGGGAGGCAGCAGUGGGGAAUUUUGGACAAUGGAGGCAACCCUGAUCCAGCAAUGCCGCGUGAGUGAAGAAGGCCUUCGGGUUGUAAAGCUCUUUUGUCAGGGAAGAAACAGCAGCUCUAACACAGUCUGCGAAUGACGGUACCUGAAGAAUAAGCACCGGCUAACUACGUGCCAGCAGCCGCGGUAA
This 501-nucleotide ribosomal RNA is filed under the name uncultured bacterium. RNAcentral describes it as "partial 16S ribosomal RNA". It matches the Rfam family "Bacterial small subunit ribosomal RNA", at positions 30 to 523 of the family's 1533-position model. The record is from RNAcentral.